This 459-nucleotide ribosomal RNA is filed under the name uncultured bacterium. RNAcentral describes it as "partial 16S ribosomal RNA". It matches the Rfam family "Bacterial small subunit ribosomal RNA", at positions 338 to 795 of the family's 1533-position model. The record is from RNAcentral.
CCUACGGGAGGCAGCAGUGAGGAAUAUUGGUCAAUGGCCGGGAGGCUGAACCAGCCAAGUCGCGUGAGGGAAGACGGCCCUACGGGUUGUAAACCUCUUUUGUCAGGGAGCAAGGUGCAGGUCGGGACCUGCUGUGAGAGUACCUGAAGAAAAAGCAUCGGCAAACUCCGUGCCAGCAGCCGCGGUAAUACGGAGGAUGCGAGCGUUAUCCGGAUUUAUUGGGUUUAAAGGGUGCGCAGGGGGAGGCACAGGUCAGCGGUAAAAGCGCGGGGCUCAACCCCGCUCCGCCGUUGAAACUGUGAGCCUUGAGUGCGGGAAGGGUAGGCGGAAUGCGUGGUGUAGCGGUGAAAUGCGUAGAUAUCACGAAGAACUCCGGUCGCGAAGGCAGCCUACCGGCGCGCAACUGACGCUGAUGCACGAAAGCGUGGGUAUCGAACAGGAUUAGAUACCCCUGUAGUC